CUUACUCGUUUAGAUUUCAAGAAAGGAUUGCAUGCAGAUCGCCCUAAAACUAAGACUGUUCGUUCUCUACGGGAAAGAACGCGUUCAAGUCCCACAUCGGGAACGGCCAUUCCUGUCCCAGAUCCACCUCGCACGGCUGAGGUUUUACCCAGAAAACCCCAGCGUAUCAUUCACAACUCGACAUCAACAUCUCAAAGACCCCGACUCAUCCCCGUCUCACCUGCAGGGGGCAGCAGCCUCUCCAAGACCCCCAACGCCGAAUUUCACAGCCCUCCGCGCCUCACAAGGGUCUCGCCGCUCAGUAUCGACACAUCGGUGACACGGAAUUUCGUUCACUCUCCAGCUGUAAAAGUGGGUAAUGUUUCCCAACAGAUUGUUUCCUCAACUGAACCUGGGAAAGAUGGGACUGAACCUCCCCUUCGACUCUGGCUUUGUCCUUCUCUGGAGCCCAUUAGCGCUACAAAAACUCAGGAUACGUUCUCAGAUCAGAUUGUAAAUUCACCAAAUUUUCCGGAGACUACACUUAAUGGAACAGUGACCCAAAAGGAAAGUCUUUCUCUGCUCAGUGAAUGUGAAAGCUGUGGCUGCCAAUUUCCUGCUCAGAAGAUCGGAGACAUAAUGUGCUACAGAUGUAGGCCUAAAUCAGACAAGAAGCACUCUCCUCCAAAUAUUGUGUUUAGGAAGGUAUGUACCAUUCUUGAGACUGGGAUAAAACAAAACGUUUAUGUGGCAGAAAUGGU
Long non-coding RNA from Sinocyclocheilus grahami, 740 nucleotides. NCBI's taxonomy places the organism in Eukaryota, Metazoa, Chordata, Actinopteri, Cypriniformes, Cyprinidae. The record is from Ensembl.